This 70-nucleotide transfer RNA is filed under the name Caudoviricetes sp. RNAcentral describes it as "tRNA-Val". It matches the Rfam family "tRNA". Rfam says of the family: Transfer RNA (tRNA) molecules are approximately 80 nucleotides in length. Their secondary structure includes four short double-helical elements and three loops (D, anti-codon, and T loops). Further hydrogen bonds mediate the characteristic L-shaped molecular structure. tRNAs have two regions of fundamental functional importance: the anti-codon, which is responsible for specific mRNA codon recognition, and the 3' end, to which the tRNAs corresponding amino acid is attached (by aminoacyl-tRNA synthetases). tRNAs cope with the degeneracy of the genetic code in two manners: having more than one tRNA (with a specific anti-codon) for a particular amino acid; and 'wobble' base-pairing, i.e. permitting non-standard base-pairing at the 3rd anti-codon position. Lineage: Duplodnaviria; Heunggongvirae; Uroviricota; Caudoviricetes. The record is from RNAcentral.
UUAGCUCAGUUGGUAGAGCAUCUGCCUUACAAGCAGGGGGUCAUAGGUUCGAGUCCUAUAUCACCCACCA